GGAAGCGUGUGUCUCUGACACAUCUGAACAUCGAUCGCUCUUACCCAGCCGAUCUGCUCUGAUGAUGUCGACCGAACACAGUCGGUGCUCCCGUUGCGCCCUUGGGUCGCACGGUCGAGCUCCGCCCGUUCCAAAUUAGGCUGCUUUCUGCGGCUUCCUGGGUGUACAAUCGGCACUUUCUCCUGUAGGUUACUAAAGUGGGGAGGGUAGCUACGUACAAACCUGCGCUUCCAUGUGCUGGCACUGCUCGAGGCAGUCUGCCAUAUGUUUUC
Molecule: small nuclear RNA, 272 nt
Filed under: Ixodes scapularis (black-legged tick)
Lineage: Eukaryota; Metazoa; Arthropoda; Arachnida; Ixodida; Ixodidae
Description: arthropod 7SK RNA
Rfam family: Arthropod 7SK RNA
Source: Rfam by way of RNAcentral